Molecule: unclassified non-coding RNA, 246 nt
Filed under: Hevea brasiliensis (rubber tree)
Lineage: Eukaryota; Viridiplantae; Streptophyta; Magnoliopsida; Malpighiales; Euphorbiaceae
Source: RNAcentral
GGUCAUAUCAUUCAGGAGGACUGCGGCGAGAGCAUUUAGAUAGGCACCUCGGUGACUGUAGAUGACACCUUUCGGACUGGAUGUAGUGCCUGAGGUAUAGUUCAGACUGAUUGGAUCACACUCGUCGAGAGGCCAUUUGAUCUCGAAGUGCAAAUUUGAACUCCUCAGAAGGUUCUCAUACUCAAAACUGGUACUAGCGAACGAAUCUGAGAUUCCAGUGAGGGAUCCGGUGGGUUCCGAUAUUAU